RNAcentral lists this ribosomal RNA (462 nucleotides) under uncultured bacterium. RNAcentral describes it as "partial 16S ribosomal RNA". It matches the Rfam family "Bacterial small subunit ribosomal RNA", at positions 28 to 493 of the family's 1533-position model. The record is from RNAcentral.
GAUGAACGCUGGCGGAGUGCCUAAUACAUGCAAGUCGAGCGGCAGCGCGAGUAGUUUACUACUUGGCGGCGAGCGGCGGACGGCUGAGUAACGCGUGGGAACAUGCCCCAAAGUGAGGAAUAACUGCCCGAAAGGGUAGCUAAUGCCGCAUAUGAUCUUCGGAUUAAAGGAUUUAUCCGCUUUGGGAGUGGCCCGCGUACGAUUAGAUAGUUGGUGAGGUAAUGGCUCACCAAGUCGACGAUCGUUAACUGGUUUGAGAGGAUGAUCAGUCAGACUGGAACUGAGACACGGUCCAGACUCCUACGGGAGGCAGCAGUGGGGAAUUUUGGACAAUGGGCGAAAGCCGGAUCCAGCAAUGCCGCGUGUGUGAAGAAGGCCUUCGGGUUGUAAAGCACUUUUGUCCGGAAAGAAAUGGCUCUGGUUAAUACCUGGGGUCGAUGACGGUACCGGAAGAAUAAGGAC